AUUGAACGCUGGCGGAAUGCUUUACACAUGCAAGUCGAACGGCAGCAUAGGUGCUUGCACCUGAUGGCGAGUGGCGAACGGGUGAGUAAUACAUCGGAACGUGCCCAGUCGUGGGGGAUAACGUAGCGAAAGUUACGCUAAUACCGCAUACGAUCUAAGGAUGAAAGCGGGGGACCGUAAGGCCUCGCGCGAUGGGAGCGGCCGAUGUCAGAUUAGGUAGUUGGUGCGGUAAAGGCUCACCAAGCCGACGAUCUGUAGCUGGUCGGCGAGGAGGACCAGCCAAACUGGGACUGAGACACGGCGCAGACUCCUACGGGAGGAAGAAGUGGGGAAUUUUGGGCAAUGGACGCAAGUCUGAUCCAGCCAUUCCGCGUGCAGGGCGAAGGCCUUCGGGUUGUAAACUGCUUUUGUACGGAACGAAAAAGCUCUUACUAAUACUAGGAGUCCAUGACGGUACCGUAAGAAUAAGCACCGGCUAACUACGUGCCAGCCGCCGCCGUAA
RNAcentral lists this ribosomal RNA (502 nucleotides) under uncultured bacterium. RNAcentral describes it as "partial 16S ribosomal RNA". It matches the Rfam family "Bacterial small subunit ribosomal RNA", at positions 30 to 523 of the family's 1533-position model. The record is from RNAcentral.